AGGCUAGCAUUUUAGGUCUUUUUAAACCUCCUUUGGUUUUAGUGUAUUAGCAGUUGGAACUUUAUAGUCACUUGAGGCUCUCAGUGAAAAUAUUCCUCUGACUGCGGUGCUCCUGAAAGCCCAGUGGAAUUACAUUGGAGAUAAAUUCCCUCUGAAGUGCUUAUAGGUUUCAUCCGGAUUGUUGCGCACAACCUUCAUGCUAGGGUUACACACACAUCACACAAUACUAUUCUCCAUUGUGUGUAAUUAACUUAAGGCCAUUAUUACUAAUGUAAGGCCAUUAUUUUGAGGAAUGUGCUAACGAUCAGCUUUGGAGCUGUAUAAUGUAAAACAUCAAAAAGCUCACUCUGUAAAAAUUACCACAUCUCAGCUCAAAGUAGGCUGAAAGGCUACACUAUGUCAAAUACAACUGCCUCUGUGCGUUAACAGAGUCAAAUUGUAGUAUCAUUAUACAGUUAUUCAGACUCGGCAGUUUUGUUUUGCAUCACUAAUGCCCUUCUUCUGAAUGCAGCCACUCUGGAUCUGUAUUCUGAAGUUAGCUACAAAUAAUGUUUUCUUCACCAGAGGUAGAUUGGUACUUGAGAAUUAAAGCAUUUUUGCUCAUUUAUAAGAUUGCAAGCAACAAGGAAAACAAAACAAAACAAAACUCUGAAAGAAUGUGAAAAAGAAAACAAAAGCACAAUUUUUGCUUGGGCAGCAGUAGGCUACUCGGGUCACUGCAGCUCCUCAGAAGAAACCACAGCAAGAGCAGAGUAACCUGGGGAGUAACUGCACAAAGCAAAGAGCACCCUGGAUUUGAAGGCUGGAACUAAGCAGGAAAGCAAGCAAGAAAUCUGGUAUUUUUGGAAUGGACAGCUGACAUGCCACCUUAAAAAAAUAAAUAAAAAAUCCAACACCCUUCUGCUGCACUCACAGGACAGGUGGCUGGACAACUGCCAGCAACAAAGGUACAAGCCACACCAACAGGAAGGGCUCAGUAUUUCUAGGCUCUGCACCAUGCUGGUGCACAUAGCUACAUGGCCUGUGGAAUGGAGCCCGCUUGUCUUCCUGCCUUGGCACAAGUGUCUGCUUGCAGAAGAGAAGAGCAAGUGCAUGUCUGUGAUGUGUGUUCUGUGGGAAAAGUGGAUGGAGGUCUCUUCCCUCUAAAGUGUAGUACUGCAUGCUAAGGAAAUGCAGAGCAUUCAUCUUAGUCCAGGAAAUAAUAAGAUAAAAAUCACAUGAAGCCCAUUCUUAAACGGCCUUGGUGUAAAGGGAAAGAAGUCUUUAGGGGCCAGAAGGUUUUGCUUCUGAUGCUAUUAGGUUAUUUUUUCCUAGGAUUCAUAUAUUGCCUCUUAUAACCACAGAGAAGGCACAUGAAAUCUCCUACAGACACAUCUCAAUAAAAUCUCCCAUGCCACCCA
RNAcentral lists this long non-coding RNA (1400 nucleotides) under Anser brachyrhynchus (Pink-footed goose). RNAcentral describes it as "lncRNA (ENSABRG00000009476.1)". Lineage: Eukaryota; Metazoa; Chordata; Aves; Anseriformes; Anatidae. The record is from RNAcentral.